UAGUCCACGCCGUAAACGAUGAGUACUAGUUAUUGGAGGUAUUGACUCCUUCAGUAACGCAGCUAACGCAUUAAGCACACCGCCUGGGGAGUACGGUCGCAAGAUUAAAACUCAAAGGAAUUGACGGGGACCCGCACAAGCGGUGGAGCAUGUUGUUUAAUUCGAAGCAACGCGAAGAACCUUACCUACACUUGACAUACUCGUCGGGAAUUGCAGAGAUGCUUUUCUUCGGUUCGGCCGGACGAUGUACAGGUGCUGCACGGCUGUCGUCAGCUCGUGUCGUGAGAUGUUUGGUUAAGUCCAGCAACGAGCGCAACCCCUAUCGUAUGUUACCAGCAUUUAGUUGGGGACUCAUGCGAGACUGCCGGUGUUAAGCCGGAGGAAGGUGGGGACGACGUCAAGUCAUCAUGGCCCUUACGUGUAGGGCUACAAACGUGCUACAAUGGCUACUACAGUGGGCAGCGAGGUCGCGAGGCCAAGCUAAUCCCCAAAAGUAGUCUCAGUUCGGAUAGGA
This 514-nucleotide ribosomal RNA is filed under the name uncultured bacterium. Its description in RNAcentral is "bacterial SSU rRNA". It matches the Rfam family "Bacterial small subunit ribosomal RNA", at positions 791 to 1302 of the family's 1533-position model. The record is from RNAcentral.